This 200-nucleotide ribosomal RNA is filed under the name uncultured bacterium. RNAcentral's name for it is "partial 16S ribosomal RNA". It matches the Rfam family "Bacterial small subunit ribosomal RNA", at positions 524 to 723 of the family's 1533-position model. The record is from RNAcentral.
UACGGAGGGUGCGAGCGUUAAUCGGAAUUACUGGGCGUAAAGGGUGCGUAGGUGGUUUAUUAAGUUGUCUGUGAAAUUCCUGGGCUCAACCUAGGCUGGUCAGAUAAAACUGGUAGACUCGAGUAUGGGAGAGGGCAGUGGAAUUUCCGGUGUAGCGGUGAAAUGCGUAGAGAUCGGAAGGAACACCAGUGGCGAAGGCG